UACGGAGGGUGCAAGCGUUAUCCGGAUUUAUUAGGUUUAAAGGGUGUGUAGGCGGGAUAAUAAGUCAGUGGUGAAAUCCUACAGCUUAACUGUAGAACUGCCAUUGAAACUGUUAUUCUUGAGUAUAGUUGAGGUUUGCGGAAUGUGUUGUGUAGCGGUGAAAUGCUUAGAGAUGACACAGAACACCGAUUGCGAAGGCAGCAGACUAAACUAUAACUGACGCUGAUGCACGAAAGCGUGGGGAUCGAACAGG
Molecule: ribosomal RNA, 253 nt
Filed under: uncultured bacterium
Lineage: Bacteria
Description: partial 16S ribosomal RNA
Rfam family: Bacterial small subunit ribosomal RNA
Source: RNAcentral